This 653-nucleotide ribosomal RNA is filed under the name Hymedesmia paupertas. RNAcentral's name for it is "eukaryotic LSU rRNA". It matches the Rfam family "Eukaryotic large subunit ribosomal RNA", at positions 659 to 1290 of the family's 3401-position model. The record is from RNAcentral. Lineage: Eukaryota; Metazoa; Porifera; Demospongiae; Poecilosclerida; Hymedesmiidae.
ACACGGACCAAGGAGUGCAACAUGCGUGCGAGUCUUUGGGUGGCAAACCCGUCGGCGCAAUGAAAGUGAAGGCAGGUGUAGGCCUGCUGUGGCGAGAGCCUUUCCUCCGGGAGGCGCAUCGUCGACCGAUCCCGGGCUACGCUGUGGCGGGAUUUGAGUGAGAGCGUGCCUGUUGCGACCCGAAAGAUGGUGAACUAUGCCUGAAUAGGGUGAAGCCAGAGGAAACCCUGGUGGAAGCUCGCAGCGAUUCUGACGUGCAAAUCGAUCGUCAAAUUUGGGUAUAGGGGCGAAAGACUAAUCGAACCGUCUAGUAGCUGGUUCCCUCCGAAGUUUCCCUCAGGAUAGCUGGAGCCCGGUGCAGUUUUAUCAGGUAAAGCGAAUGAUUAGAGGUCUUGGGGCUGAAACGGCUUCAACCUAUUCUCAAACUUUAAAUGGGUAAGAAGCCCGGCUUGCUCGGUUGAAGUCGGGCGCGGAAUGCCGGGGCUCCCAGUGGGCCAUUUUUGGUAAGCAGAACUGGCGAUGUGGGAUGAACCGAAAGUCGGGUUAAGGUGCCGGAAUCGACGCUCAUCAGAUCCCAUGAAAGGUGUUGGUUGAUACAGACAGCAGGACGGUGGCCAUGGAAGUCGGAAUCCGCUAAGGAGUGUGUAACAACU